UUACGGCCACAUCUCGUUGAAAUACCGGUUCCCGUACGAUCACCGAAGUUAAGCAACGUCAAAAUGAUGACUACCUAGUGGGUGACUGUUUGGGAAUACCAGCUGCUGUAAG
Non-coding RNA from Acanthosepion pharaonis, 112 nucleotides. Lineage: Eukaryota; Metazoa; Mollusca; Cephalopoda; Sepiida; Sepiidae. The record is from the annotation of a GenBank genome assembly.